AACAGGUCCACAUAGGUCACCUUCAUAUUUUCCUCUACAGGCAACAUUGCAAAAGUAAAUACUGCAGAAGAAAGAAAGAAUUGCUUUGAGAAGGUCCAUCCAACCCACAUUUGGUCUUCAUCUUCAUGGUCAGAUACAGGCGACAAGUUCACGUCUACUUCAAGUGCAUGUUUCAGGUCUCCUCUUUUCAUCUUUCUCUUCCUUCCUGAAUUCUCCUGCAACACUGUCCAGGGCUUGAAUCCUGUGGCUGUGUCACAGCAUUUUGAAGACCCCCCUCAUUUGGCAAAUUUGGAAAGGGGGAGCAACGAGGAGGGCUUUCAGUGAACUCAAGCUAAAUGGAAGCUUUUAGGUCAGGGUGGAGAACCUGUAGCCCUUCGGACUCCACCUCCAUCCAACACGGCCAAAGGUCAGGGAUGAUGGGAGAUGUAGUCCAGCAGCAACUAAAGGGCUUGGGGUUCCCACCCAUCCUGAGAAAAACAUUAUCAUCCUUUUUUCUUUUUUUCAAGAAAAAUGUCCCCUGUCCUGUUUGGACUUCAAACGGGAUGCCUUUUUUCAUGUACUUGAGUUCCUCCUCCUCCUCCUCGUUCCUCCUAUCUCCAAACUGCACAGGCAGAGGGUGGGUUCAGUGGGAGGAAGAGAGCGAGAACCUGAGUGGGAGUUUGUGUGGGCAAAGGGUGGGUCCAUGAGAAGGAGAGCCAACAGUGAGAGUGAGAGCUGUCACGGGACAUGGGCAGAAGGUGGGAUGGCGCAAGGAGGCUGAGUUUGAGAGAGAGGGAGUUCCAUGUGGGCAGAGGGUGAGUCACCAAAAGACACAGGGAGGAAGUUUGCAGUGCGCAGUCCUGCUUCAGUGCCUGUGGAGAGAGAUUUCUUUUUGUGCUUGCAGGGCGGGUGGGGGUCGGAAUCAGAAAGCGAUUCCGAUACGUCUAUCGGAGCAAAACAUACUCUGUUGUAUUUCCAGCAGCUCCUUCCCCCUUCCCAUUUGCUUAUAAAUCUUGGUAUCACUUUGCUAGCAGCUAGUAAUCUAUUGGUUUUUAAAAUGCAAGCAUGCCCUGGCUGCAGGCGUUGCUCAAAAUGUGUAUGUUGCCCUUGUCCGCGUCCCUCACAGACGUCAGUGUGUGGUUGAAAUGGCUUCUGUUUAAUCUAGAUCCUCUGUGCCUAAUAACAGAAAAACACAGGUUCUGCUUUCAAAUAAGCUCUGGGUGGGUAUUGCUGGAUCCCCCAUUUGGCCAGCAAUAGGAUGUCCUUUUAAUAAAGAAGAGAAGAGAAAUAAUGGCUCUCCUGAGAGCAGUGAAAUGAAAACAUAAAAGUACUGGGAGCCUGAGAGGGUUGAAAACAACAUGUUUUAGUGGCUGAGUUCCAAAUUUUCAAAAUCAAAGUAAUUGUUUUGCCCCUUAGGAAGCUCUGUGAAAUGCAUCUAAUUGUCAAACACCAUUUCUAGCAAUUACGCCUUCAUUAUCUUCCCACACCUCAGGACAUCCAUGAGUUCAGCAAGUAAGAAGAGCGGGUCUCCAAAACCUGAUAUGCUUUCAGGCAGCCAAGGAAAAUUUAUUCAUGAUUUGGAGGUGGGGCGGGCAGAAUCAGAGCCUUCCUGGCCAAGCCGCAGGUAGAAACGGGACCAGGAUGUCAUCCCUUCAGUUUGGCAGGGGACGGUCUGCCUCUCUGUCAGGAACUUGAAAUAUCUCAGAGCAUCCUCUCCUUUUCUAUUGGGGUCCUGGCUUGGUGGUGGAGCAUCCAGUUUGCAUGCAGAAGGUACAAGCUUCAAUAACCUGCAUCUUCAGGUACGGCUGCAAAUGCCCCUGUCUGAAGCCCUGGAGAUGCAUAUUCAUCAGUGCAGACAAUGCUGAGCUAGAUUGACCCAUGCCCAGUAUUAAAAAUAUGUUGGUUUAUAUCAGGGGCAUAGCUUCAACUUUUCCCUUUUCUUGCGAGGAAUCCUGUUCGGAAUAAGGGAAUUUCCCUUAAAAAAAGGGAAACGUUGACAGCUAUGAUCAGGGGUCAGCAGACUUCUUCAGCAGGGGGCCGGUCCACUGCCCCUCAGACAUUGUGAGUGGGCCGGACUAUGUUUUUUUUUGGGGGGGGGGAUGAACAAAUUCCUAUGCCCCACAAAUAACUCAGAGUUGCAUUUUAAAUAAAAUCACACCACGCAAAACACCAGGCAGGCCCCCAAAUAACCCAGAGAUGCAUUUUAAAUCAAAGGACACAUUCUACUCAUAUGAAAGCACGCUGAUUCCCGAACCGUACGUGGGCCAGAUUUAGAAGGUGAUUGGGCCAGAUCCGGCCCCCGGGCCUUAGUUUGCCUACCCAUGAUUUAUAUGCACAGGUGCAAAUGUAAAAGCAACAGGCUCUAGCCAGCUGAAUUUACUCAGAGGGAAAUUCCCUGAAGACACUUUAGUUAGUUAUAUGUAUUCAUUCCAAUGGGCCUAUUCUUGAGUAGGACUAGCAGUGGAUAUGACCCAGCUACUGUAAUUUAAAUUGAAAUACAAUACAUCUCACCACUUUUCUGCCUGUUCAGUCUGCUGCCCAGGUGAUACUACCUGAGUUACUAGCCUCUGAAGGCUAGUUACCAGGAAUCACAAGUGGGGAGAGUGUUGUUAGACUCAGGCCCUGCUUUUGUGCUUCCCAUAGGUAUCUGGUUGUCCACUGUGAUACUGGAGAUAGGAUACUGGAAUAGGUAAAGGUAAAAGACCCCUGGACGGUUAAGUCCAGUCAAAGGCGACUAUGGGGUUGCGGCACUCAUCUCACUUUCAGGCCGACGGAGCCAGAAUUUAUCCACGGACAGCUUUCAAGGUCAGGUGGCCAGCAUGACUAAACUGCUUCUGGAGCAACGGAACACUGUGACAGAAACCAGAGCAGUGCACGGAAACGCUGUUUACCUUCCCGUCGCAGCAGUACCUAUUUAUCUACUUGUGCUGGUGUGCUUUCGAACUGUUAGGUUGGCAGGAGCAGAGACAGAGCAAUGGGAGCUAACCCCGUCACGGGGAUUCGAACCACCGACUUUCUGAUCGGCAAGCCCAAGAGGCUCAGUGGUUUAGACCACAGCACCACAGGUCAGAUGCAGCAAGGUUCUCAUUACAUUCUAAUGCUAGCUUUUCACAGGCAACCUUGAGGUCUUAGCUGCUCUCCUUUCUUAUGGGGCUGGUGGGGGUUUCUGCACAUGCCAACUGAAGACAACAAGCUUCAAGUAACUAGCUUCAAAGUCUUUUAAGAACCAAUAGAUUUCAGAUGAUCUUGUAGCAAAUUCAGCAUAUUGGCUGAAUUUGCUAUGGCUGUCAACAUUUUUAAAGCAGGCUACCUAAUAUUUAGGCUGAAUACUGGAUUUGAUUGCAAAUGAAGGCUGUGACGCACUUUCUCUCUUUCGCUCUCAUAUAGAGCAACACUUCCAACAAUUAUGAGCUUAUGUGCAUUUUUUUUCAAAAAAAGUAGUGAUUUAAGGGAUUAUAGCCUCGCUAAUUUGUACUGUACGUUAGCAAUUAACCGCAGUUUAAAGUGUAAUGUGUUAGUGUUGUAGGAGCCAUAAAUGGUUUUUUGCAGUUGAUUAGCUGUUGAAAUGAAGCUGAGCUGUUUGCUGCUCUCAGAAAGAGUCGCUUUGCAUACAGCUCACACUAAUUUUGCCUUGGUGUAUAUACAAUCACUUUUAAAAUCUGUUGGUUUCCAUGAGAGGAGGUAGAUAGAUAAACUUUGACAUACGCUCCCAAUGUUCAUAUUUACCAGGGAGGGUCCCUAUUUUCUUAUCUUUAUGCCUGGCAAAUCCUUGCUGCUAUUUGUCCUUAUUUAUGGCCUUUAGGAAUGCCUUAGUAAAAAUAAAAAGCCAUGGAGAAUUGCUAAAAAGGUAAAGGUAAAGGACCCCUGACAGUUAAGUCCAGUCAUGAACAACUCUGGGGUUGCAGCACUCAUCUCGCUUUACUGGCUGAGGGAGCCAACGUUUGUCCACAGGCAGUUUUUCUGGGUCAUGUGGGCAGCAUGACUAAGCCACAUCUGGUGAAACCAGAGCAGCGCACGGAAACACCGUUUACCUUCCCGGUGGAGUGGUACCUAUUUAUCUACUUGCACUUUGACGUGCUUUCGAACUGCUAGGUUGGCAGGAGCUGGGACCGAGCAAUGGGAUCUCACCCUGUCAUGGGGAUUCGAACUGCCAACCUUCCGAUCGGCAAGCCCAAGGCUUAGUGGUUUAGGCAGCUUAGAUGAGCACCUGGGGAUUGAUAGCAUGCUUGAGAAAGUGGCAGGGCUCUGCAGGUUAGCAUUGCCCCUGCCCCUGCCAUACAUUGUGGUUAUGCUUUCACCUUCUCUGGAUUGACUCGUGAGAGUGGCAAAAUGGAAAAGAGAUCAGGGCUCAUGCACCUAUAAUAAGAAGAGUUUGGAUUUGAUAUCCCGCUUUAUCACUGCCCGAAGGAGUCUCAAAGCGGCUAACAAUCUCCUUUCCCUUCCUCCCCCACAACAAACACUCUGUGAGGUGAGUGGGGCUGAGAGACUUCAGAGAAGUGUGACUAGCCCAAGGUCACCCAGCAGCUGGAAGUGGAGGAGCGGAGACGCGAACUCAGUUCACCAGAUUACGAGUCCACCGCUCUUAAUCACUACACCACACUGGCUCUAAUACGGUAUCCUUCUGGAGCAUCCAAAGGGGCUGGGAGUUGGGGAAAUUGUGCUUCAGUGCUUCUGUUCCUACCUUCAGGGCCGUUUCCAGAAAGUAGCCUUGGGAGGCUACUGUUUAGCACCAGAGGAGUUGCUGGCAUCUUGCAGGAUUCCAUCUUGUCCAACUUGCUAUUUAACAUCUGUUCGGAGCCUCGGGAAGCUGUCAUAAGGAGAUCUGAAGUGUCAUCAAUAUGCAAAUGACACCCAGCUCUAACUCUCAGUUGCAUCUGAAUCAGGAGAGGCGGUUGAGCUGUUAGACCAGUGCUAGGGGAUGGGUUGCAUGUGGGCCAAUAAACUGAAGCUGAAACCUGGAAGGACAGGGGUUUUCUGCUUCCUGAGUUCUCACGCCCAGGAGCUGGGGCUCCCUUCAGAUCACAUAUAACCCCUGUUUUCAAAAAGCUGCAUUGGUUGCCAGUUUGUUCCCAGACCCUGAGAAUUCUAGGGACCUCGAACAUUUUGACACAUGUAUAUUUAUCUUGCGUUUACAGUGGUACCUCGGGUUAAGUACUUAAUUCAUUCCGGAGGUCCGUUCUUAACCUGAAACUGUUCUUAACCUGAAGCACCACUUUAGCUAAUGGGGCCUCAUGCUGCUGCUGCGCUGCUGGAGCACAAUUUCUGUUCUCAUCCUGAAGCAAAGUUCUUAACCCGAGGUACUAUUUCUGGGUUAGCGGAGUCUGUAACCUGAAGCACAUGUAACCCGAGGUACCACUGUAUUUCAGUCUCUCUCUUUCCCCCCCCUUUUGGAAGCUCAGAAGAGCUGACCCAACUGACCCAGAUACUGCCUGGCUAAAAUAUUCUUAGCUUUUAAUGAAACCACCGCAUGAUUCCCCUUCUCUGAGCCAUUUGUAGUACACAAUAUGUGCAACCAUAACAUUUUAUGAAGGCUGUUCUUUUCUUUUUAUGUAAAUUCACCUAUACCUUCCCUGGCCCUCUAUUUCUGACUUCACUCCAUGGCAUUUUUUGUUGUGUGUUUAUAUGGAUUCAGCCAAUAAACCAGCUUAAGGAGUGACCAUCAAUUCUUUUUAUUUCCAUAUUUCAUCUCCAAAUGUUCAUUUAUGAUGAGCAAUUCCUUUUAGGAGCAAAAGCAAAUGAACGUGCCAGUAUUUGACCUCGAGCCAAAAGCUCCUUCGGUUUCUACAGCUUUAAUAAAAAUGAUCUCUAAUGAUUGCAGUGAGAUGAGGGGGCGUCGAAAUUAAUAUUUUUGAAAUUCUUCCCAGGAAGAAUGUCUUUAAAAAAGACAACAACGAAAAAGAAUGAAUCCAAAUGUGCUUUUCUACAGGAUAGCUAUAUCUUUGCCUGAAAUGUCUAAGACUGCAGUAAAGCAUUUUUAACCCCAAUCAUGGAGAACUAUCUACAUGGAGCUGAAUUUUUGCAAGUUUUGAUUUUUUGUGUUGAACUGUGCAUGUUGAACUGUGUUAAGCACAUAGGUUAGUCUUGUGUCCAUCUUUUUUUUCUUGCCCUGUUUAUAGCAGUCUCUGAGAGAGUCUAAUCAGGGUCAGAACCAUGGUCAGAUGGGGGUUAACUCUUUCUUCCUGUCCUGCAAUUCUGAUAUCUGCUCCUCCCCCAAAACUGCAGUUUGGCUUGAGAGAGAAGCUCCUGCUGUCAGGAUAGUGGCAUGGAAGGAGUUGACCCCCCACCCAACUCCCUGGGCACCAUAGCACCAGUCUUGACCAGGAGACCCGAAAAGCUGCUAUUUAGUGUUUUAAAAGUGUACAUUUGACAUGAAACCAUGGUCAGAAUCCUGCUAAGUAGACCUGCUGCUCAAAGGACUUUUUCAUGUACAAAGGAGCUUCCCCUUCUUCACCUCUCCCCCCCCCCACUGCACUCCUCAUGCCCCCUUAAAUCUGUUCUGGGGUUUCUUGUGAGGAAAUGAGCUCCCUGACUUUGUCUGAUCACCCAUAAAAACAUAUGAAAAGCCCUGCUGAGUCCAUCUACCAUCCUCUUUCUCACACCAGCCAACCAAGUUAAUCCACAAUUUACAGGCAAGAGGGAAGGAUGCAUACCAGUGAGUGUGAACUGAUGAGCAUGAAUGUGUAGUUGCAGUAUUAAAAUGGCAGUAUGUGUGUCUGUGUUAUUGGCCCUGCCACCUGCCCAGGGCAGCCUUGCCCACCAACCACUGCCAUCCCCAGAACUUUGCGAAAUUCCCACCUACUGCCACAUAUUGUCACUUUUAGACCAAGCUACUCCAAAGCAGUUCAGGAGGUGUGUGUUUUUGACUCAAUUUGGAUUCUGAAAAGUUUGUUUCCUAAAAUUCCCUAUUUGGGGUAGGGGAAUUGCUAUAGCAUUUUUUUGCUUUUCACAGAAAUGGAUGAAAUUUGCAGUCAUACUAGUUCCUCCAGAGUGAAUAAAGCUUUUCAAAUUACAGUGGUACCUCGGGUUAAGUACUUAAUUUGUUCCGGAGGUCUGUUCUUAACCUGAAACUGUUCUUAACCUGAAGCACCACAUUAGCUAAUGGGGCCUCCUGCUGCUGCCGCGCUGCCGGAGCACGAUUUUUGUUCUCAUCCUGAAGCAAAGUUCUUAACCCGAGGUACUAUUUCUGGGUUAGCGGAGUCUGUAACCUGAAGCGUAUGUAACCUGAAGCAUAUGUAACCUGAGGUACCACUGUACAGGAAAAUAGAUCCAUGCAUUUUUGUACUUGGUUCAUACAAAGUUUUAUUUAUUUAAAAGAUGUGUCAUUCACAGCUUUUUAAAAGUAAACAUGUUGGCAGAAUGAUGUGAAAUUUACAAGCAUGAUCACUUCUUUUGUACAGACAAAUCCAGAGCAAUUUUGGAUGAUGAUGAUAAUAAUAAUAAUAAUAAUAAUAAUAAUAAUAAUAUUAAUAAUAAUAAUAAUAUUUAUUUAUUUAUACCCUGCCCUCCCCGGCCAGAGCCAGGCUCAGGUCGGCUAACACCAGUAAAAUUACAAUAAAAAAAUAAAAAAUAAAAAACCAAUUUAAAAUACAGGUUAAAAAUACAAUUUAAAAUGCAGCCUCAUUUUAAUAAUAGCCCAUAGAUCAAAACCAUAAGGGGAGGGAAACAUAAGGGUCAGACUGAGUCCAAACCAAAGGCCAGGCGGAACAGCUCUGUCUUGCAGGCCCUGCGGAAAGAUGUCAAGUCCCGCAGGGCCCUACUCUCUUGUGACAGAGAGUUCCACCAAGUUGGGGCCAGUACUGAAAAGGCCCUGGCCCUAGUUGAGACCAAUCUAACCACCUUGCGACUUGGGACCUCCAAGGUGUUGUCAUUUGUGGACCUAAAGGUCCUCCAUGGGGCAUACCAGGAGAGGCAGCCCUGUAGGUACGUGGGUCCUAGGAUGGAUAGCUUCAGUGGCUUUUCUGCAAAGAUGGUCUUUACAUUGUUGUUGGUGUGUGUGUGUACAUAUAUAAAAUUUAAAAAGUUCUACAUCCCAUCCUGUAGUUUUUUGAGCAAUUGUUGUUAUUAUUAAAAUUGUGAACAUUGUAGAGGUGCCCCUAGUGUCAUGGGAGGGGGAUUUUGCCCAGUGGCACGGGGCCCAGAAAAUGAGGGGGACAGAUUUGUGUCUCUCCCAUCAGGGAAAUGCUAAUUCAUUUCUUCUCAUCAUAGACUUUGCAACCUCCUUAAAGCAGGGACAGGGAACCUGCAGCCUUCCAGUCUCCAGCUCUCACCAACUUCAACCAUGGGCCAAGGUUGCCUGGGGUCCAACAACAUCUGGAGGGCCACAGGUUCACCAUACCUGCUUUAGAGCUUCUAGCAAAAUGAUACAGAGCCAGUGUGGUGUAGUGGUUAAGAACGGUAGUCUCGUAAUCUGGUGAACCGGGUUCGUGUCUCCGCUCCUCCACAUCCAGCUGCUGGGUGACCUUGGGCCAGUCACACUUCUUUGAAGUCUCUCAGCCCCACUCACCUCACAGAGGGUUUGUUGUGGGGGAGGAAGGGAAAGGAGAAUGUUAGCCGCCUUGAGACUCCUUCAGGUAGUGAUAAAGCGGGAUAUCAAAUACAAAGUCUUCUUCUUCUACAGUGGUACCUCGGGUUACAUACGCUUCAGGUUACAUAUGCUUCAGGUUACAUACGCUUCAGGUUACAGACUCCGCUAACCCAGAAAUAUUACCUCGGGUUAAGAACUUUGCUUCAGGGUGAGAACAGAAAUCAUGCUCCGGCGGUGCGGCAGCAGCAGCAGGAGGCCCCAUUAGCUAAAGUGGUGCUUCAGGUUAUGAACAGUUUCAGGUUAAGAACGGAGCUCUGGAACGAAUUAAGUACUUAACCCGAGGUACCACUGUAUUUAUAUCAGCCUUGCCCCACAACAACUCAUGCAGUGAUCUGCUUAAAAUGGAGCAAUACGUGGGAUAUAAUAAACAAAUGAUAAUAAUAAUAAUAAAAUAAAUCUCUCCUACCGUGGAUCAGUCAGGAGCCUCGUCAACCUUGAGCAGAGCUGGCUGGCUCCCAACUGUGUCAGAAUGGGCAAGUUUUAUAUUAUUAUUUAUUUAUUGCAUUUUUAGCCCACAUUUCCUCCAAGUGGGGUUCCUAAUCUCACUCCUCCCUUCAGAUCUUGCUAUAGGAUUAUGCCCUGAAUUUCACUCAGAUGUGACUUGUUCCUGCAUCCUCCUCUCUUCCCUUUUUCUUUCAUGCAGCUCAUCUAUCUCUCUGGAGGAGUUGGGGAGGGGGCAUGGCAGGGAAUAAUAAUAAUAAUAAUAAUAAUAAUAAUAAUAAUAAUAAUAAUAAUUUAUUUAUUUAUACCCUGCCCUCCCCGGCCAGAGCCAGGCUCAGGUAGGCUAACAACAAUCAAAAUAAUCCAACGUUCUAAAAACAUUUCAUUAUAAAAAAUAAUUAAAAUCAAAUUGGUGGCAACCAUUAAGCAAAAAUCUGUGCAGAUUGCCAGAGGAGGGGGUCAGGCCGCGCCCUGACCAAAGGCCUGGUGGAGCAGCUCUGUCUUGCAGGCCCUGCGGAAAGAUGUCAGGUCCCACAGGGCCCUAGUCUCUUGUGACAGAGCGUUCCACCAGAUUGGAGCUGCGGCCGAGAAAGCCCUGGCUCUAGUUGAGGCCAGCCUAACCUCUCUGUGGCCUGGGAUCUUCAGGAUGUUUUUAUUUGCAGACCGUAAGUUCCUCUGUGGGACAUACCAGGAGAGGCGGUCCCGUAGGUACGAGGGUCCUAGGCUGUAUAGGGCUUUAAAGGUUAAAACAAGCACCUUAAACCUGAUCCUGUACUCCACCGGGAGCCAGUGCAGUUGGUAUAGUACCGGAUGAAUGUGAUCACGCAGUGAAGACCCCAUAAGGAGUCUCGCCGCGGCAUUCUGCACCCGCUGGAGUUUCUGGGUCAGGAAGAGUUAAGAGGGAAAUGUGAGGUUUCAAGCAAGAGUUUUGUUGACAUUAAAAAUUCUUUUUUUUUUUCUCACAGAGAUCAAUCAAAUGAUCCCCAUCCUUUUAUCAGGAGGGAUAUCUGUGGAAGCCAGUUUGCAGAGCAAUUCACAGAACAUCUGUAGAAUGCUGUCAAAUAGCUCUGGGCAAUUAGAGUGCCCGGCCGAACAGAAUUAAUUAGCAUUACCAGCUUGAGUAGUUUAGAGUAAUUGGCUAGGUCCCUCUGGUGAAAUGGAAACAGGCUUGGAAGCGCUAAGGCCCGAGUCUCAUCUGCAUAGCAGGAGCCCAUUUCCGAAAGGUACAUUAGGUAGACCUGAGAGAACGAUGGUUAGUUGAAGGAUAUGGGAGAAAGCUUUAAAUGGGGAGGGGCGGUGGUCUUUUUUGACCCUGCUAUCCAUGUCCAUUCUGAACCAGUAACUUGGGCAAGCCAGGAGAACAGCCAUGGAUGUUCUAGAAUUUAGAAUUCAUUGAGCAAAGGGUGUGGCUUGGUGGUAGAGUACCUAGGUGCCUUGCAUGCAGAAGGUCCAUGGUUUAAUCCCCAGCUUCUCUAGCUAGGCUUGGGAGAGACCCACACCCCUUCCUUGAGGUGCAGACAAGACUGAGCUAGAUUGACUAAUGGUCUGACUUGGUAUAAGGAAGCUUUCUAUGUUCCUACAAUUGAAAGUAACCAGAUGAGCUGAUGACCAACAAUGGAAGGGUUCACAAGAAGAAGAAGAAGAAGAGUUUGGAUUUGAUAUCCCGCCUUUCACUCCCUUUAAGGAGUCUCAAAGCGGCUAACAAUCUCCUUUCCCUUCCUCCCCCACAACAAACACUCUGUGAGGUGAGUGGGGCUGAGAGACUUCAGAGAAGUGUGACUGGCCCAAGGUCACCCAGCAGCUGCAUGUGGAGGAGCGUAGACGCGAACCCGGUUCCCCAGAUUAUGAGUCUACCGCUCUUAACCACUACACCACACUGGCUCUCAGCCCAAAAGGGUCUUGCUUCUCCCAUAACCAGUCCUGGAUUCAGACAUCAGACAUCCUGCUCUGCCUGCUCCUUUGCUCCUCUAUCACAUAACUCCUAAGCUUCUAGCUCACAUUGCCUCUAACUCUACUCUAAACUCUAGCCCUUUAUCUAUUGAGGGAGUACACUCACCUCUUUGCUGUCUGGCAAAGUUCUUUGAUCCUCUGUUGUCUGGCUCAUCUCCCAGGCUUAAUUAGUUUUUUACACUUGUUGAUUCCAAAGGAUUAGAAGUGACUAGCAUGCAGCUUAAUACACACUGUUCUGGCACCCAGUUUUAACACCCCGAGCCUUAAUUAAAUUCUAACACUUGCUUGAUCCAGAGAUUAUAGUAGUCUAGCACCCACAAACUCAUAAUAAUACAUAUUGAAAUAUAUAUUUAUGAUAGAAUGCUAUUUAAAUACAAAGUUAAAAAUUGCAUACAGAAAAGAAACACAGAUUACUGCAGAAAGGGGACAGUGUCAUAGAACAGACUUAUGAGUGAAUGUGCAGUUUUCAGUGUGAAUGUGACUAUUCUAGAGCAUUCCCUUGACAUUUUGGCAGAUGUUUUAGUUGCUUCUAACAAAACCAGCCAAAGAAAGAAAAUGUGAAAUUGGCAGGAGCCUGAUACAGACUCAUCUGUCCAUCCCUUAUUUUAAAACUGAUGUUGGAUUUGGCAUUCAUCACUACUGCAUCAGCUCCACAGCAAAAGGAUCCAGUUCUCUCCUGCUAGAAGUGAUAACGGUUGUUCAGCUUUUCUCAAAGAAGGAGAAAAAAAGAUCGAGCCACAUUUAGGGAAAGGAGGAGGAGGAGGAGAGCAGCUCUCUCCAAAGCAUUUCACUCUGUCCACCUGAAGAAAAUCUCAGGCAAGACAAGAAUUUGAGAAAAAUAAUAAUUUUGGAGGCGAUAGAUGUUCCUGUUCACUGUGGUCCUGAUUACAGUUGCUGAUUAAAGGAGAAACCAUCACACCGUUGUCAGUAUGAUAUAUACUUAUGCAGGAAAACCACUGCAACAGGGCAUUAAUUAAUGUCUCAUUAGUGUCAAAAACAAUUGCUUUUUCUCCCCCCUUCCAUUUUUCAGGAGUCUGUAAUCUUUGCUGUAAUGAACAGGAACAACACUUUAAAGUGCUGCAGGGAUUGUGACAGUAACUCCUGUGAAAAUAAUAAACAGAAUGUGUUAACCUCUUUCGAGGGCAUUCAGAGUAAACAGGCUUUCAUUGUUGUUAAUGGAUCUCAAGGAGGCUUUGUGAGCGGUAAUGGAUCAGGCCUAAGUCUUGGGGCACAUUUGCAGCAGAUCCAUCCAUAUUCUACCAUGAUGGGUGUAGCGCAGAGGUUUUCAACUUUUUUGAGUCCACGGCUCCCUUGAUCAAAUACCUUCUUUCUGUGGCACUCCUGUGAGGCCCAGGAGCCCAGUUAUGUCACCUCUUGCCUGUAGCUGGCAGCCUCUCACCCCUUUUCGAACACCCUCCUUUGUGAAGUGUUCCCUUAGCCUCCUCUCCUUGAGAGUCCUCUGGACAGCUGCUGCUGCUGUCCCUGGUCUCUGAGCUGCCCCCCUGGUCACCCCAGAGAGAGGGGCCUCCUCACACUGCCCCACAGGUACCUGAGAGGCACCCUCUGGCCAGCCCCAGAGGCACAAUUCGCCUGGGGAGCUUGUAGCCAGGGCUGCUGCAACAAACAGCUGUGCAAGCCUUUGGGAGGGCAGACACCCCAGAGGGCAUCAGAGGAGGGAGGGAAGGAUAGAAGGACAGAGGCCAGUGUUGCCCAGAGCACCCCUGGCAAUCAUUCAGUGCAUCCCAGCAUGCCAUGGCACACUGGUUGAAAACUGCUGGUGUAGUGGAUCCCACUGUUUGUUGUUGUUGUUUAGUCGUUUAGUCGUGUCCGACUCUUCAUGACCCCAUGGACCAGAGCACACUCACUGUUAACUGGCCCCAAUUAAACCUAUAGUGAACCUACUGCGCGGUAAGGUAAAGGUAAAGGUAAAGGGACCCCUGACCGUUAGGUCCAGUCAUGGCCGACUCUGGGGUUGCGGCGCUCAACUCGCUUUAUUGGCCAAGGGAGCUGGUGUACAGCUUCCGGGUCAUGUGGCCAGCAUGACUAAGCCGCUUCUGGCGAACCAGAGCAGUGCACGGAAAUGCCGUUUACCUUCCCGCCGGAGCGGUACCUAUUUAUCUACUUGCACUUUGACGUGCUUUCGAACUGCUAGGUUGGCAGAAGCAGGGACCGAGCAAUGGCAACUCACCCCAUCAUGGGGAUUCGAACUGCCGACCUUCAGAUCAGCAAGUCCUAGGCUCUGUGGUUUAACCCACAGGGCCACCCGCGUCCCUACUGCACGGUACGCCACCUAAUUAAAUUUAUAAAUUACCACGGGUUAUCUUUGGGAUCUUGUGUGUGGGAAAACCUAGUGAUUUGUAAUCUUAGGCAGAAGCUGAACAAAUAAGAAAGGUUUUAUCUGCCAAACAAAGUUGGUAAAACAAAGAUGGGUUAGGAGUUGUGUUCUUUCAGGAAACACAAAUUAAUUUAAUUACACUAAAUCUGAAGAUGUCACAUGUUUCACUGAACACAGUUACAAGCUGUCUCUACACCUGUCUGAGUGUUGGUGUGAAAGAGUAUACACUUGUUGAAUUUGCAAAGCUCCUCUCUUGUGUACACAGACGGUACACUCACUGAACACCACAUAUGAACAACUCAGUGUAACAUGUAAGCAUUCCCCAUAUUGAGUGUUUGCUUCAUCACAUCCUGAGGCCACAAAACCAACAACAUUAAAGGCUUGUCCACAAUUUGUUUGCCAUGUACCUAGAAAGCAUGGAGCCAAGAGGCUUUCUUCUGGUCUUGGAAUUUCUUGGCACGGGUUCAAGCAGUUUCCCGCUUUGUCUGGGAAAACCUGCCUGCUCUUUACCACUUAACUGGAGCAAACAUCAAUCCAUGGAAAACCCAGCUGAAGUUUGCUCCAAUUCAGUAGUAGAUAUUGGGUUUCCUUAGGGGCAAACAGCAAGACGAGAGGAAGUAUGGAAGAGCCCUAAAUGCAACUGCAAAAGGCAAUGGUGGUAUAAGACUUUGGUUUCAACAUUUCUUCCUCUGCCCCUUAAACGUUCUGAGAUUAAGAUAAACGCGUUGGCUUAUGCUUAAUAAAUGCAGCACUGUUAUGGAGUUGUUUGUUUAUAUAUAUAUAAACCUAAAUUUAUGUUGCUGCUUUGCCCAGUUGACUAAGAGUUUGCAACUGUAUAUCACCGAUAGAUUUUUACAGCGUAAUUCAAUUGCCACAUCAUUAUAAUCUUUAUAUCAGGAAGCAUAAUUCCUGGCGCCUUGGCUUCAUCAUCGACUAAAGUAUAAAUAAUCAGGAGCUCUAAUGGCUUUGGCUAGCAUUUGAACCUGUGAUGCAUUGUAGCAGAUUAUACAAUAAAAAAUAAAUUGACUUUUUAUUCUGUUUCAUUUGGACACCUCCCAUUUGGGCUGGAGGAGGGGGGUCUAUUUUAUACGCUGCAUGGAUUUCCAAGCUUCGCUGGCAACCAUUUAAAGGGUUGGGGGCCUUCCUAUCUUUCCCCCUCCCCUGCUUUAGUUCCAUUACAUCUUAUGCCUCACCAACACAAUCUCUCCGAAAUAUGCAGCUGGCAUUUUGGCGGCUUUUUUGGGGGGGGGGGAGCUCCUGUACCAUCUCCCUUCUAGGUUUCCAGCUUUCUUCAUUUCUUCCCAGCACAAACCUUUCGAUAAAGCAAUAAUAGACAUUUGCUGCAAUCACGAGAAGCUAUAAAAUAUUAAAUGUCUAAGCCAUGCGCUAAGGGGGCAGAAGGGCCACUUUGAUUCAGAUAGUGGUGGAAAAAUAGCUGCAGGAUUAUAUCCCAAUCUUCUGAUAUGAGGCUUUGCUCUGAUGCGAGUGGGGUGCUCCAGUCUGCAUGAUGCUGCCUUCCUGUACCGGUAGCCUUCAGGCUGUAGACUGCAGUAAUGAGAUCUACAUGGGGCUGCUUUGGAGGAUAGUUUGAAAAGAACAGCAUUUAGGGUAGGAUGUGGCUGCAGUAUUAUUAACUUUUGCUGUCACUAGAGGCCAAUGUGGACAAUGUGGACAAGGGUGCUUUCUGCCCUUGAAGCUGACCCAGAAACUCCAGCAGGUGCAGAAUGCCGCGGCGAGAGCUGUUCCGCCUGGCCUUUGGUUUGGACUCAGUCUGACCCUUCUGUUUCCCUCCCCUUAUGGUUUUGAUCUAUGGGCUACUAUUAAAAUGAGGCUGAAUUUUAAAUUGUAUUUUUAACCUGUAUUUUAAAUUGUCCCCCCGCCCCAUUAUGUUUUUAUUGUAAUUUUACUGGUGCUAGCUGCCCUGAGCCCAGCUCUGGCAGGGGAGGGCAGGGUAUAAAUAAAAAAUUAUUAUUAUUAUUAUUAUUAUUAUUAUUAUUAUUAUUAUUACCAGCUCCACCUGGUAUGCCAGUUGUGGCUGUUCCUGGACCAUAACAGCCUGUCCUCAAUUUUCCUUAAAGGGUGAUUUAUUUAUUUUUGUACACUGGCUUUGAGCGGUACUGUUGUACAGUGGUUAGAGGAGUGUUGGACUCCCGACCUGGGAGACCAAGGUGGGUUCAAAUCUCCUCUUGGCCAUGAAUCUGACUUGGUAAUCUUGGGCUGGUCCUUGAGCUCCUUCAAGGAAAGGUGAGGUUUGAUUUAAUGAAAUGAUAAUAAUAAUUCUACAAAAAACCACCACGUUGGGUUAUAUCCAAUACUAGUCUUGCUCAUAGUAGACCCGUUGACAUUGAUGGACAGGACUAACUUAGGUUCAUUAAUUUCAAUAGAACUCCGAGUAGAAUUUAGUUAGACACAAUACAGUGUGCAGCUCUGAUCUCCCCACUUCAAGAAGGAUUUUGUAGAGUUGGAAAGGUUUUGGAAAAGGGCAGCUACAAUGAUCAAGGCAGUGGAACGACUUCACUAUGAGGAAAGGUGGCAGCAUUUGAGGGGGUUUUUGGUUUAGAGAAAAGGCGAGGGAGAGGUGACAUGAUAGAAGUUUAUGAAAUUAUAAUGGUAUGGAGAAAGUGAAGAGAGAAAAGUUUUUCUCCUACUCGCAUAACACUAGAACUCAGGGACAUGCAAGAAAGCUGAAUGUUAGAAGAAUUGUGACAGAUAAAGGAAAGUCCUUCUUUACAUAAAGGUAAAGGGACCCCUGACCAUUAGGUCCAGUCAUGGCCGACUCUGGGGUUGCGGCGCUCAUCUCGCUUUAUUGGCCGAGAGAGCUGGCGUACAGCUUCCGGGUCAUGUGGCCAGCAUGACUAAGCCGCUUCUGGCGAACCAGAGCAGCACACGGAAAUGCCUUUUACCUUCCCGCUGGAGCGGUACCUAUUUACCUACUUGCACUUUGACGUGCUUUCGAACGGCUAGGUUGGCAGGAGCAGGGGCCGAGCAAUGGGAGCUCACCCCAUCGCGGGGAUUCGAACCGCCGACCUUCUGAUCGGCAAGUCCUAGGCUCUGUGGUUUAACCCACAGCACCACCCGCGUCCCUUCCUUCUUUACAUAACACAUAGUUAAACUAUUGAAUUCACUCCCACAGGAGGCAAUGAUGGCCACCAACAUGGAUGGUUUCAAAAGAGGAUGAGGCACAUCCAUGGAAGACAAGGCUAUUACAGUGGUACCUCAGGUUAAAUACGCUUCAGGUUACAGACUCCGCUAACCCAGAAAUAGUGCUUCAGGUUAAGAACUUUGCUUCAGGAUAAGAACAGAAAUCGUGCUCUGGUGGCGCGGUGGCAGCAGGAGGCCCCAUUAGCUAAAGUGGUGCUUCAGGUUAAGAACAGUUUCAGGUUAAGAAUGGACCUCUGGAACGAAUUAAGUACUUAACCCGAGGUACCACUGUAAUAGAUACUAGCCACAAUAGCUAUGGUCUGCCUCCAUCACCCAUGGCAGUAAUGCAACUGAAAAUCAGUUUCUGGGAACCAUAGAAAGAGAGAGUCCUCUUGGGCUCAGGUGCUGUGUGUUGGUUUUCAGCAGGCAUGUGGGUGACCCUUAUGAGAACAGGAUACAGGAUGCUGGAUUAGACAGGUCAUUGGUCUCAUCCAGCAGGCUCUACUUAUGUUCUGUUCUCAACCCACAGAUCCUGCUGGUACCACAGAUAUUUGGCGGGGAGGGACGGACCUGAAUGGACACACCACACGUCCAUCUCAGAAUUUCUCUCUUUCUCUUCCCAUUGUAUCACUUUGUGGGAGUCCCUGUAGUCAUUUAAACAGCUCUUUACCGGGUGGUAAUUGUGAGGAUGAGUUAUUACACAAUGAAAUUGCAUUGCCUAAUUGUACAUGGGGUGUAGAACGCUUAGCAAAACCUGUCACACUGUGUACCAAACUGCUUCCUGAUGUAAUUAUAGCCAGGCUCUUGACAAAAGCCACUUCCCCCCCUGCUACCUUCCUAUUGUUCUCCCCUUUUCUUACAGUAUUUUGUGUCUCACAGUGACUGGUAAUUCCCUCCCCACCCCCCUCUGAUUGUGUAGUCCUUAUAGCUCAUCAACACUCUUGAAGCAACAACUGGCUUUCUUCUUCUUGAAUUCUCUUUCUUCCCCUCUCCCCCCUCCCACCUCUCAUUCUCAAUUUCUUCUUUUCUCCCAUUUUAACUAAACCAACCAGCUGGUAUUCAAGCUCUGUGUCUGAAUUUUUCAUUAGCAAUGUCAAAGUCGCCGUUUGAAAUAUGAACCAUGGUAAUUUGCCUUCAAUAUGAGGUGAGGAUUAUGGACCCACAAAUUAUUUUCUAUCUUUGAAUUUAAUCCAAACUGGAGAACUCCAUCCAAACCCACCCACCCAACAGAUGGCAGCAAUUCUGGUUGUUGUGGUGGCAGUGAGAAGUGAGGGAAAUCUCUGAUUCUAUCUCUCUCUUACAACCACAUAUAAUAAUAAUAAUACAGUGGUACCUCGGGUUAAGAACUUAAUUCGUUCUGGAGGUCUGUUCUUAACCUGAAACUGUUCUUAACCUGAAGCACCACUUUAUCUAAUGGGGCCUCCUGCUGCUGCCGCCGCACUGCCAAAGCACAAUUUCUGUUCUCAUCCUGAAGCAAAGUUCUUAACCCGAGGUAAUAUUUCUGUGUUAGUGGAGUCUGUAACCUGAAGCGUAUGUAACCUGAAGCGUAUGUAACCCAAGGUACCACUGUAAUAAUAAUAAUAAUAAUAAUAAUAAUAAUAAUAAUAAUAAUUUAUUUAUACCCCGUCCAUCUGACUGGGCUUCCCCAGCCACUCUGGGUGGCUUCCAACAAAAUAUUAAAAUACUGUAAUGCAUCAAACAUUAAAAGCUUCCCUAAAGAGGGCUGCCUUCAGAUGUCUUCUAAAAGUCUGGUAGUUGUUCUUACACACGGAGACAUACUGCAACAUUGCUGCAGUAGCAUUCCAGAUAUUUUUUAUCACGUUCCUAAUGAUAGUGUAGAUUUUAAAGGUGUCCUGGGAAAUUUUUGUUUCCCAGGGCUCCUGCUGUUUGGGAUACUACUACUAGAGCAGCAUUCAUUCCAGGCACCAGGGAGUGGUAGGAGGAGGGCGAGGCAGGGAAAGAGAGAGGGUUGGCGAGAGAAAGAGAUCUCCUUCCUUCCGCUGCUACCACUGAUGGAGGAAGAGGCAGAGGGGAUGAAUUGUGCAACCUGGAUCGAAGGGGCGGGGGGAACUUUCCUUUUCACGCUGACUUCAGUUGGUUUGUAAGGGGGAGCAGGGAUGUCAGAUUUCUGCCCUGACCCUUCUGUGGAGCAGAGAGCCUCAGCUGGGACUGCCAAGCAUUUUGAUCAUCCUGAAGGAGUGUCUCCACCCCCAUCGUUCUGCCCAGAUGCUGAGGUCCAGUGCCAAGGGCCUUCUGGUGGUUCCCUCAUUGUGAGAAGCAAAGCUACAGGGAACCAGGCAGAGGGCCUUCUCAGUAGUGGCUCCUGCCCUGUGGAACGCCCUCCCAUCAGAUGUCAAAGCGAUAAACAACUACCUGACAUUCAGAAGACAUCUUAAGGCAGCCCUGUUCAGGGAAGUUUUUAAUGUGUGACAUUUUAGUAUAUUUUUGGUCUCUGUGGAAGCCGCCCAGAGUGGCUGGGGAAACCCAGCCAGAUGGGCGGGGUACAAAUAAAUUAUUAUUAUUAUUAUUAUUAUUAUUAUUAUUACAGUGGUGCCUCGCAAGACGAAAAUAAUUCGUUCCGCGAGUCUUUUCGUCUUGCGAUGUUUUUCGUCUUGCGAAGCACGGUCCGUCGCAACUGCGCCUCUUCAAGCGGCUUUAAGAAAAAAGCGCAAGACGUUUUCGUCUUGCAAAGCAAGCCCAUAGGGAAAUUCGUCUAGCGAAGCAACGCAAAACCGAAAAACCCUUUCGUCUUGCGAGUUUUUCGUCUUGCGAGGCAUUCGUCUUGCAGGGCACCACUGUAUUAUUAUUAUUGGAAGAGGCUGAACAAAGUGUUCAAAACACAAGUGGAAAACAUGAUGCAGCUGCUGCUACUUAGGUGUCACCUGUGUUUUCAGUUUCUAAAAGAGCUCUACCAGCCACUCACAAAUUUCUCCAUGUAUACAGCACUAGGUAAGGAUGGGUGAAUAUGUCAGUUUUGAUUUCUCUCUGUUUCCUCAUCUUUCUACCUUUCAGUUCUCCACAUUUCCACAUCUGUUGAUUUGUAAAAAGAGAAAUCUUCAUUCAAAUUUAUUAGUUUUCCAGUGAAAUUUCUCAGAUUUUUUUCCUAUGCAGUUUUCCCUAAUAUACACAUUUUGGAAAGCAAUUUCCCCUAAUACAAUGCAUUACUACUAAUAUAUGACCCUCUAUGCACACUUAACCCUGGUAUAUUUUUGCACACAUUCAAUGACUGGAGAACUUCAUUACAAAAUUCAGAGAAGUGCAAAUUUUUAGAAGGGGCUGCCUUUCAGUUUGUGUAAAGUAUUGUAAUUUAUUCCCCAACCCCAGCACCAGGUGAAACUCACUUCAGAAAAUGCAAACCAGUCUAGAAUCAUCAGCAGUUGCUUCCUUGGAAUAAUUUGAUGGUCCAGACUCUCUCCUAAGCCAAUGUCUUCUAUUUCCAUACCUUUGAUCAGAGAAGGCGGCUCAGGCCCUUGAUUUCUUGCAAAGAUACUUGUGUCACUAAGUAUUACUCACAUGCAAGACUUACUUUCUUCAAGCAACACCAAACCUCUGGAGCUUGCUUUCAUCAACCUUAUGAUCAAACAAGUUCAAGCCGUCUACUAGACAAGCACAUAGCUUUCCUGUUUCACAAGUCAUUUGCCUUAUAUGAAUUCAAGAUGCCCAUGAAAAGAGCAGUGGAAAUUGUAGGGAAACUAGUGAUAAGAGAAAAGGCCAGACAGGGAAUAAGAUCUGCCAAACGGCAGAACACAAGAGCUUGGCUGGAUCUGUCCUAUGGGCCAUUUAGUCCAGCAUCCGGUUCUCACUGUGGCCAACCUAUGGGAAGCCACAAAGCAGGUCCUAAGUGCAACAGCAUUCUUCUUACUUGUGAUUCCUGGCAACUGGUAAUCAGAGGCAUAUUGCAUCCGACAGCGGGGGGAAGUGAGAAAGAGACAGAAACUGAAUUUGCCCAUCCCUACCACUGCCAAUCACAGAAGACAAUACUGUGCUGGAUAGACAAAUUAUCUGGCCUGGUAUAAAGCAAUUUCCAGUAAGUUUGUACGCUGGGCUUAUUUAUUUUAUUCUACAGUGGUACCUUGGGUUACAGAUGCUUCAGGCUACAGACGCUUCAAGUAACAGACUCUGCUAACCCAGAAAUAGUACCUCAAGUUAAGAACUUUGCUUCAGGAUGAGAACAGAAAUUGCACCGCGGCAGUGGAAGGCCCCAUUAGCUAAAGUGGUACCUCAGGUUAAGAACAGUUUCAGGUAAAGAACGGACCUCCAGAACGAAUUAAGUUCUUAACCCGAGGUACCACUGUAUUAAUUUACUUAAUUGCACCUUAACAGAAACUUUGGACAUCAUUGUUCUAGAAUGACAGCUUGUUUAUUGCUGCUCCAGAGGUAGGACUCAAACUAAUGGAUUCAAAGAAAAGAGAUUCCAACUGAAGACUAAGAAGAACUUUCUGGCCGUAAGUGUUGUGCGAGAAUGGAGUGGAUUACUUAGGGAAGUGGUGGGCUCCCCCCUCACUUCAAACAAAGUGUAGGUGGACAUCUGUCAGGGAUUCUUUAGCAGGAGUUGGACUAGAUAACCCUUGGAACUCUACAUGAUUCUAUGACAUUCCACACUACCAUCCAACAUGAGACAAUUCCCAUAGGCAUGUUCCAUUUUUAAAUACAUGAGCCUAUUUGUCUGCAUGCAUAAUAGUCACCACCUAUGCAGAUACUCUCUCCAGAUUACAAUCUUCCAGUGCUGUGGCCCUCUAAAAGCAAUCUGCAUGCAUUAUUCAUUCCUACAAUACUUUUGAGCAUGUACAUAUUCAUGAACAUAACUCGCGGGAGUCUUCUUCUGUCUGAAAAAGUUAAUUCAAGAAGCAGCCAUGAGUUGACAAAGUCGCCUUGGUAGUAUUUAUGUGUUUUCAGACUUCAGCACUUAACCAGUAUUUGUUAAACAGAUUCUCCACACAGAUACCCACCCACCCAAAAUGUGUGGGGCGGAUAAUAAUGCUAUCAUUUUCAUUGCCAGGGGAAAACACUGCUCCUGCGCUGGCCAAGAGCCAAUCUAUCCAAAAUCCCCCCCCUUCUUCCUCAUCUCUUUCCUGCCAGGAUAUGGCAGGAACAAAUGCUGGUGUAAGAAACCUAGUGGAAAUUGAAUCUAUAUUUAUAUAUAUUUAUGUAUUCCUGCAUUGCAGAAGGUUGGAUAAGAUAAGCAGCAGGGUCCUUCCCAGCUCUACAGUUCUGUGAUUCUAUCCUAUAUGGGGUGGAGAGGAUCUGGAAUUCUAAAAGUCGGAGCAAAAUCUAUGUGACUGGACAUAUUCUCAAUCUCUUGUUAUUCUUGUUCAUGAUGUUUUGACUCAAUUUGGUGACUAUUAACUCUAUGAAUGCAGGGGCAUGUAGAGAGCCCUGUGGUUUUCCGAUGUAUGUGUAAAUGAAAGAGGAAAUAAUAAUAAUAAUAAUAAUAAUAAUAAUAAUAAUAAUAAUAAUAAUUUAUUUGUACCCCGCCCAUCUGGCUGGGUUUCUCCAGCCACUCUGGGCGGCUUCCAACAAAGAUUAAAAAUACAUUAAAAUGUCACACAUUAAAAACUUCCCUGAACAGGGCUGCCUUCAGAUGUCUUCUGAAUGUCAGGUAGUUGUUUAUCUCUUUGACAUCUGGUGGGAGGGCGUUCCACAGGGCGGGCGCCACUACCGAGAAGGCCCUCUGCUUGGUUCCCUGUAGCUUUGCUUCUCGCAAUGAGGGAACCACCAGAAAGCCCUUGGCGCUGGACCUCAGCAUCCGGGCAGAACGAUGGGGGUGGAGACACAGUAAAUGUGUAUAUGAAAGUGUGCAUUGCACUAAAUGUGUAGGUAAAUGUAUAUGAAUUAGAAUAAGAAUCAGCUUGGCUUAGUGGUUAGAGUGUUGGACUAGGGCUUGGGAGACCAUGGUUCAAAUCCCUGCUCAUCCAUGGAACACACUGGGUGACUUUAGGCCACUCACAGUCUCUCAGCCUUGCCUACCUCACAGGGUUGUUUUGAUGAUAAAUUUGAGAUGAAGAGAACUAUGUAUGCCACCAUCAGAUCCUUGGAGUAAAGGUGGGAUGCAAAUGCAUCAUGCUAUUAGUUCUGUCCAGUAGUGGUGUAUGGAAGUGAGAGCUGGACCAUAAAGAAGGCUGAUCACCGAAGAAUUGAUGCUUUUGAAUUAUGGCGCUGGAGGAGAUUCUUGAGAAUUCCAUGGACUGCAAGAAGAUCAAACCUAUCCAUUCUGAAGGAAAUCAGCCUUGAGUGCUCACUGGAAGGACAGAUCCUGAAGCUGAGGCUCCAAUACUUUGGACACCUCAUGAGAAGAGAAGACUCCCUGGAAAAGACCCUGAUGUUGGGAAAGAUGGAGGGCACAAGGAGAUGGGGAUGACAGAGGAUGAGAUGGUUGGAUAGUGAUCUUGAAGCUACCAGCAUGAGUUUGACCAAACUGUGGGAGGCAGUGGAAGACAGGAGUGCCUGGCGUGCUCUGGUCCAUGGGGUCACGAAGAGUCCGACACGACUAAACAACUAAACAACAACAUUAGUUCUGUUCUGCAAGUAUAUGAGCAACCUGCUCCAUGUCUCCCCACCCUUCAUGAACCAUUUUGCAUUAAAGCUGUUUUCUUUAUGCAUCCUUGGCCACAAUACUUUUCAAGUCCCCCAGCCAAGGUGACAGACCAAGGUAAAGUAGAUGUAUCCAUUUUAAAUAAUCAGCCACUGUUGUGGAUCUCCAGACAUUUGCAGUUGGAUGUGUAUUUUAAAACCAGUUUACUCAAAACAAAAGAGAACACUCAGGCAUUGAUUGCCACUACUCUUUUGCCUCCUGAAGGCUUUCUAGAAUGUGUCAGCCUCAGGCAAAACUUGAAGGGCUCAGUUUUUUCUGGUGGGCAAGACAAAUAUGUCUCGGGACUCCUGCAAAACAAAAGCACAGCUUCAAACACUGUGUUACUUGGGAAGGGAAAAGGAAGGAUGAAAACACAGCAACACAGUUGUAGCCUGACACCAGCUUUUAUACCAUUUCACUGGAGUGGAGCCUGGUCCUUUGGGGCCAAUGGAGCACUGCCCUACCAACCUCAGCCUGACUUCAGCUAAUCCCCAUAUCAUACCCCACAAGCGUCUGAGGGGAAAAUAGGGACAUCACCAUUUCUUGCAUAAGAGCAUGACGGCCAUUUUGGGUACCGUGAUCUCAUGUGGUUACAUGCUGAUAUCUCACACCCAAAAAAGGAAUUUCUCCCCCAAAUAAAGCACUUUUUCGGGGGCAGCAAUUUUGUGUGGUGCCCCAAAACACAUUUUUGGGGAGCCAGGUGAACAUGGCCUGUAAAAGAGCACGUCUUUUAGGCUCCAUGAUCUUGUGCGGGUCAAGUGACUCGUGCAGGACAACUGGUGGGAAGGCGCACAUCCUAGUUUGGGGUCACAAGAUGUUGGAGGGUAUACCAUCUGCCUUUCUUCUUUUCACAAGCAGUCCUGAAGGUUGCCCUGGCUAUCAGUUUCCUCCUCUUAGUCUCAGUGUUUCCCUUGUAAAACUCAGCAGGAAGGAGGAUGGGGACAAAACUAGAAUUAGUUGGUUCUGGCUCCACCUACUGUUGGCCUCCCUGCUUUCUGUCCUACGAGUUUAAUGAACACUAUAAUGAUCAUUAUAGAAUGAUUUGUCAUUCUUUCUUCAUCUCUUUGCUAAAUGACCUCUCCAUAAUCAAUGCCAGAUGUUUCAGAGCUUCAGUUAUUGUGGAAUGUGACUUCUCAGCUGUUGACAGGUUUGAGGCAAUCAUACCAUAUAAUAAGAUCCAUAAUUGAGAAGAUCCAUUUGGGGGUGCCAAAUUUUGGCCUCGUCCAGGGUGCAUAUUAUAGAAGAUAUUAUAGAAGUCUGUCCAUGCAAAAAAGGGAAGGGAAACUUGGAACUGACUUUACUUAAUGAUACCAGGAGAGGCGCCAACUCCCUGGAUUGUGAACAGAGAUUUGUAGAGUGUGUAGGGUUACCAAGAAGAGAUGUUUAGAUCCAUCAUUUUGCAAAUUGAGAGCAGUCCUGAACUUUUUAGUUCAGGAAUAAGGGGCUCAGCAGGACCACUCAACUAAUUAUGAAGGGUCUUGAGGCUCUGAGGGUUCUCUCAGCUAGGAGGGUAUAUUCACCCAUGCACUUUCUAGAAGAGGUGAGGUCAAUUCUAACAUUUAGGGUGGUAAAAUUGUUUCUGAACUAUACAGCUUCAGAUUGAAGUUGUGGAGAUUCAUCUAUUUUAUUUUUUUCUUUAAGAAAAUAAAAGAACUCACCAUACAUACAUACAUACAUUUAAGUUACCAACACAUUUUGUAGAACAUGAAUUCAGCACUCAAAGUUCAACAGGCAAUGCACAAGAUGUUACUUCUGGUUUACAGCAUCUAGGCUUGCCAUAUGUCAAGAAAAUUCCUGACACAUCCUUGUUUUCGUACGUAAAAAUGGUGUCUGGGGGAUUUUGCCAAACUGGCAAAAUGUCAGGGAAAACCCGGAUGUAUGGCAACGCAAUGGAAAAAGCAGGAUAAACAGCUCCAAAGACUUAAAACCACUAUUUUGGGGUCUCCCCCCAAAAGCUCAAUAAUUAAAAAAGUUGAAAUAUGGCAACCCAACAGAAUCUCAUGUGCAUAUGUUGCUGCUGCACUUUUAGAAGCAUGCAUUAUCAGUGCCUUUCUGAUCCAGUUUUAAACUUUUGCUGGGAACCUUUUAUUUAUUUUAUUUUUACGAGCUCCUUUUAAAUCUUCUGUGGCUUCAGUGCAAGGAACGAUUCAUUCCCCCACCACCUCCGGUCAGAAGUGGUACUCUGCCAUCUCAGCUGCUAUGCAGCUGCCUGGUUGAGUGUACAUACCUUCAGGGAGUCGUGUUCAUGCGUUCCAAAAAAAGAUGAUGCACCACGGGGACGAAUGGACUGUGCAUCAUUAAUGGACCUGCUUUCAUUUCGACUAUUAAUUACAGGAUGUUAUUCAUUUCUGAUGGUAAGUGGGGGGUGGGGAGGACAAGUGGAGCUUUGGAACUUCAAGGGGACCCAUGAAGGUCAAGCGCAGGAGGACAGGAGGGGAAACAGCUGGCAUUUGCUAUGGAGCCCAUAGAACAGAUUGGCAGGAAUCUAGCAGGGCCCCAGCCAAGAAGCAGCUGGGCCUCUUCUUCGGCAGGUCCUGUAAUUGCACAUUAUAAGUUUAUUGGUCCUCAGUUUCAUAUUGUGGGCAUAAUAUAAAGCAGAGAGAAGUGCGCUCACCACCGUAAUAUUAAAUAUUAAGAUGCUAGCCAUUUUGAUUCCUUGAAAAAUGGAAGACAAUCUGCAUUUAAAUUGCUUCAUCAAAAUUAUGGGGUUCCUGUUCUCUGCCUGGUGGGAGGGCAGCUGCCCCACUAAAAUGAAAAAGGAAAACCCUUUUUAAAUGUAAAAGCUGUUCUUAUGAUCUGGGCUGAAAUCUGGUAUAUUUACUUUUUUCUGAAUAACUGUUUCUUUGCCCAGUCGUUUAAGACAGGAAUGGGGAGCCUGUGGAAACCCAGGUGUUGUUGGACUCUAAAUUUCUCAUAAGCCACGGUUAGGGGUGGGUGGAUUUCUCCAUCACAAUUUCCCUCUGUUUCUUAUUUUUCCAAUGCUUUUCUCAACAUUUCUGCAUGAGGUCACCAACUUUUUUGUUUGAGAAAAUUCACCAGCAUUUUCAUGCUAAUUUCUCCUAAUAUGCUUCUCUUUGUGUGCAAUUUUUCCUAAUAUAAUGCACUCGGUGGCUUGUAUCCAAGGUCAGCCAUUCUCAGAGGAGACCUGUUGAAAUCAAUAGACACGCCUAACUCAGAUCCAUAAACGUUAAUAGGUUGAGUUGCCUGCAGCCCUGUGUUAAUUUCACAGAUAUAUGCAUAUUUAUGCACAGCCCCCCAAAACAUACACAUUUUUGUUCUCAUCAUUUGGUUGGAGAACUGUAUUGCAAAAUUCAGAAAAGUGUGAAUUUCAAAGGCGAGGCUGUGCUUUGGUUCAUAUACGGUUUUGGAAAGUGUGCAGAAGAUAGGUAAAGGUAAAUGGACCCCUGACCAUUAGGUCCAGUCGUGGACGACUCUGGGGUUGCGGCGCUCAUCUCGCUUUAGUGGCCGAGGGAGCCAGUGUACAGCUUCCAAGUCAUGUGGCCAGCAUGACUAAGCCACUUCUGGUGAACCAGAGCAGCGCACGGAAACACUGUUUACCUUCCCACUGGAGCAGUACCUAUUUAUCUGCUUGCACUUUGACGUGCUUUCGAACUGCUAGGUUGGCAGGAGCAGGGACCGAGCAAUGGGAGCUCACCCCGUCGCGGGGAUUCGAACCGCUGACCUUCUGAUUGGCAAGCCCUAGGCUCAGUGGUUUACACCACAGAGCCACCCACAUCCCUUAGGCUCACUUAUCUAUGAGUAAAUGCCACUGAACCCGUUGGGGCUUAUUAUGAUUCUGAGCAGAGAUGUAUAAUAGGUUUGGGCUUUAUUUGGCUUUCCAGACCUUCUUGAUUUGGCUUUCCAGACCAGCCCCAUCUGGCAAACCAGAGCAGCGCACGGAAAUGCCAUUUACCUUCCCACCGGAGAGGUACCUAUUUAUCUACUUGCACUUUGACGUGCUUUCGAACUGCUAGAUUGGCAGGAGCAGGGACUGAGCAACGGGAGCUCACCCUGUUGCGCGGAUUCGAACCACUGACCUUCUGAUCGGCAAGUCCUGGGCUCUGUGGUUUAACCCACAGUGCCACCUGCGUCCCAGCAGAAGUGUACCGGACCUCAUUUACUUCACACCUUGCUCCGCCUCUGGGAUGAUAUACUUGCUUUUUGUGUGUCCUGAAUCCCUGGUUCAGUUUUGGAAUUCACUCCCACAGGAGUCAGUGGUGGUCAGCUUGGAAGGCUUAAAAAGUUGGACAAACUUGUGGAAACUAUCCAUGGCUACUAGCUAUGAUGGCUAUGGCUAUGGCUUUGAGGCCCAUAGAUUGCUUUCCAAAAGGCUGACAAUCAGCUGCUUUGGCCCACAGGGUUUGGUGGUGGAUAUACCUAACUGGACCAACAUCCAGAUCCAGUUCCUCGCCUGGAUCUGUAAGAUUGCACUGUAAGUUCAACCCCUUGAGAGAAUGCACAGAUUGUGUUAUUGAGAUAUUAUGUAAAUUUUACUGAUUUCUCUUAAUUCCGGUUCCCAUAUGCUGUUUUCUUUGAGUGCUGCAUUUAAAAUUUGCAGUCUACAAGAAGACAUACACCCUUCUUUUCAGAAUCUGUGCGGCUCAUACUCUUUUAUAUGGCAAUUUGUACAAGGAGCCCAUUGAGAGGCUGGUUCUUCUUUUAGUAGAAGACCCAGAAGACCCACUGAAAUUCUGAUAGCCUACUGUUUAAAAUGAUGACUUUCCCCCCAUUACUGAAAAGGUAACUAAUUUCUUUCUGCACGCCACACAAAUUAGGAGCAGAUGGCAAAGUAUGAUUCCCGCUUUGGCUUCUCUUGGAAUCUAUUGAUAUUCUUUCUGCAUCCAUUGCCUUGCACAUAUCAAAUUUCAUUCGUGUUUUGUAAAGAUGAGGGAUAAAUUUGUUUCCAUUCACAUUUAAAUGUGAACUUACCUAAUUCACACAUUCCAAAGCAAUAUGCAAAUCAAAGCACAGCCCAUCUUUCAAAAUUUACACUUCCUUGAAUAUUACAAUGUAACUUUACAGCAAAGCAUCACGUACAAAUAUGCAUAAACCAAAGUGAUGUGCGCAUAUAAAUGCAUAUAGUAGUGAGCAUAACAUACAAAAGCAUGUUAUGAUAUGAAAACAAUGUUGCAAAAAUAUGUAUGUUAGGCAAAAUUGCACCUCCAGACUGGAUUAUUGUAACUCGCUCUACGUGGGGCUGCCCUUGAGACUGACCCAGAAACUCCAGCGGGUUCAGAAGGCUGCGGCGAGACUCCUUAUGGGGUCCUCGCCAUGGGAUCACAUUCACCCGGUGCUAUACCAGCUGCAGUGGCUCCCGGUGGAGUACAGGAUCAGGUUUAAGGUGCUGGUUUUAACCUUCAAAGCCCUUUACGGCCUAGGACCCUCGUACCUAUGGGACCGCCUCUCCUGGUAUGCCCCACAGAGAAACUUACGGUCUUCAAAUAAAAACAUCUUGAAGGUCCCAGGCCACAGAGAAGUUAGGCUGGCCUCAACUAGAGCCAGGGCUUUUCGGCUGUGGCUCUGAUCUGGUGGAACGCUCUGUCACAAGAGACCAGGGCCCUGCGGGACUUGACAUCUUUCCGCAGGGCCUGCAAGACAGAGCUGUUCCACCAGGCCUUUGGCCAGGGCACAGCCUGACUCCCUCCCUCGGCAAUCUUCGCGGAGCUCUGGCCCAACGGUUGCCAGUGGCUUGAAUUAAUUAAUUUUAUAAUGAAUGAUUUUAGAGUGUUGUUUGUGCUGUACGUUUGUACUGUUUUAUUGUUGUUAGCCUCCCUGAGCCCGGCUUCGGCUGGGGAGGGCGGGAUAUAAAUAAAUUUUAUUAUUAUUAUUAUUAUUAUUAUUAUUAUUAUUAUUAUUAUUAUUUAAGAUGUGUAUUUAGGAGAAAUUCACACUAAAAGGUGAAUUUUCAUAGGUCAAUUUCAAAGAUUCAUAGAAUAGUUGAGUUGGAAGAGAUCUGAAAGGGUCCAGCUCCAUGCAAUGCAGGAACUCAUGAGCAGCCUAAUUUUAUAAGGAAACUUUGGAGUAGCAGAAAAUAAACUGCUGGGUUGCUGACUGGGGCAAGACAGUUUGAGCAUGUAACACCAAUUCUGGCCCACCCAACUGCAAUGGCUGCCAGUUAGUUUCCAGGCCCAAUCCAAAGUGUUGGUUUUGGCCUAUUAAGCCUUAAAUGGCUCUGGACCACAAUACCUCAAUUACCCCCGCCCCCCCCCAUCUGCACCCUUCAGUCAUCAUCUGAGGCCCUUCUUCUUGUGCCUCUUCCAUGAGAGGUCCAGAGGCCAGCAAUAUAAGAGUGGGCCUUUUCUGCGGUGGCUCCUUGUUUGUGGAAUGCUCUCCCAAGGGAGGCUCAUGUGGCGCCUUUGAUACAUAUCUUUAGGAGCAAGGCAAAAACAUCUCUCUUCUCAGAGGCCUUUGGCUAAUUAAACAAUCUGUGGCAUUUUAAACCGUGCAUGCUGGUGUGGUUAUUCUUUUUGUACAUUAUGCUGGUAUGUAUUUUUGUGUUCUUAUAUUGUAAACUGUCCCGUGUUCUUCAGAUGAAGGGCAGUAUAGAAAUUUAAAUAAUCAUAAUAAUUUCAAAACAUGGGAACAAAUGUGGGUCAAGCAGGUUUCUGGAAGAUCCCGCACUGCUGUCAGGUUCCCGAUUUCAUUUAGCAACUGCCUGACCCUUAGAAUGGAGACCCACUUUUAUUCACCAAGAAUCACAGAUUUAAAUAUUUGAAAGCAUUUUCGCAGUUUUGAAAUACACAGCAUACUUUUGCCUGGUCACAAAGGGAUGGGGAGGGGAGAAUCAUAUGUGAACCUACCAGUCUCUGAGGUAUUACAGUAUACCUGUUUGGGAUAGAGUGAAAUGAAUUUUCCACGAGGCCACGUAAUGUCGAUGUGUGUAUAAUAAAGAUAAAACAUUGCGAAGCAAGAUGAGGCGGCGCACCAAUCCCAGGAAAGGACACUCUGACAUUCUAAGCAGUGCUUCAUUGCUCAUAAAUGCAACUUGAAAAACAGUGGAAACUUUCCCAGGGAAAUUUGUGCAGGAAAUAUUGGUCUGGCCAAAAUAAAGGUGCGCAGUGGCUGAGCAGAGAGAGAAGGAAUAUGAUGAUUGUCAACAGUGACUAUGUAAUGUUUUCUGUUCUGCCCUCUUCUGUUUUCUUUUCUGCAGCAGUGUUUCUGAGCUGCAGUUUGACUUCUGCCAAAAAUGACAUUAUUCUGCUGUGGUGAAAUUAUGUUGUCAUCACAUUAUUCCACCCCAUUCAUUUCAGUACAAAGGAAAGGAACCACAAGGCAUAUGCGGGACAACAUGUCAUUUUUAGGACUGAAAGCAACAACAGUGACUGCAGAUCAUAUUCACAGGAUUGAUAUCUGUUCUGGACAUAGGAUGAUUAAGCAGGUGAGAGAGUUGGGUCUGGAGAAAAGCAGGCUGGGAGAUGAUUUGAUAGCCUUUCAUUCGGACACCUCUUGAGAUUCACCUGACUUAGCAGUGGAGUCAAGGUCCCAGUGGAUGCUAGCCGUUUUACCCUGAAAAUGCUUUGCAAACUAGUCACAGUGAGCUGCCAUUGGUUCUCCUUUGGUCCAGGCUGUAAAAAGCCUUGCACUACCCGGCAAAAGCUCUGCUGGAUGGCACAGUGAGAAUGCAAUGAGCCAGCAGAGUAUGCCUUCUUUGAUGCCUUUUCAGCCACAGUGUAGGCUUGGUGAUGAGCCCUCACCAGUGUUUAAUUGCAUUCAACUAGUUUUUCUCCACUUGCAUUUGAGACAUCUCCCAGCUUUCUUCCUCGCCCUAAACUCUGGAGUAUACCAGGGAGCCAAGUGGGAUCCAUGAAGCGGGAGAGGGCACUCAGGGCCGACCAUGUCAAUGGCCCAAGCCAUUUGGAUAUUCCAGAUAUCAGCCAGGGCUUCGACAGGAGGGCUGAUCAUAUCAGCCAGAAAAUCCCCCUUAGCCAUCUGGAAACCCAUUGCAUCCAUCAGCCUCUGAGUGUGGACCACCUCUGCAGAGUGGAAAAGGGGCUGAAAGCCUAAAUCUCAACAAAAAGUGUUCUGUCCAUGACAAGAGGCUGGUGUCAAUAUCCCCUACCAAUUAUUUCUACUUUUAUUCCCAUCAUCCUUUCUUUUGAUUUCUAAAAAUGCAACACUGAGGCUAAGGAGGAGGAGCCUGACAGCCAGAGACACCACCUGGAUUGGAUAAAAGUGGGGGGUGACUGAGGGCAUGCUGAAGUGGCGGGGGGAGGGGUUCCUAUUUGCCACUGCUUGUGAGUCUUGUGAAAGAGCUAGGUAGGGUUAGCCUGUGAGACAAACUACCAAACAUGCAUUGCUAAAGUACCUGUUUGGUUCACACUAGUCACGGUCAAGUGCAUUUUCAGUGCAUAUGGUCAAGUGCAUUUUGGAAUAUUACACUGUCUUCCAAGACACUUAGAAUCAUAGGAACAUGAAAGUUUAGAGGUACCACUGAAGGUCAUCUCAUCCAACCCCCUGCUCAAUGCAGGAUGCAACCACAGCACAUCUGACAGAUGGCUACCUAUGGCACAUCUGCACCACACAUUUGAAGCACUCUUAUGCCUUCUAUUUGGAGUCUGGGUUUUCCAAAACCUACCCUGAAGUACUGCUCUUUGUAAAACAACAACAACAAUCUUUAUUAUGGUCCAGAGACCCAACAAAUCGUUACAAAGCAAUACACAAUUCAUAAAGCCUACCUCCAGGUUAAACAAGCAUUUUGUUCAGAAUAUAGGGAUCACUGGUUCUUGCAACCACCGAUAAAACUUUGCCACUGCUAAUAUUCUAGCAUUUGUCUGGUCUUCCAAUAGGAACCUGACAUAGUGAGCCUCUGAUUUUCCCGGGAAAGGUACCAGCAAGGGUAGUAUCAGUUCAGCCCUGGCUUGCUCAUAUUUUGCACAGUGCAACAAAAUAUGUUUUAUGGAAUCGAUGUCUUGAGCACACGAGCAAAGUGUGUCCUGGUAGGGAACUCCUUUCAACCUUCCAUCCAACACUGCAGAAGGAAAGACGUUUAGUCUGGCUUUGGUGAAAAGCCUUCGAUAGUUUGGUACUGUCAGGUUUUUAAUGUAAGAUGUUAACUUAAAGACAUGCCCAUAUUAUACCCCUACUGCCAGCAGACUACGGACUGCGUGUGAUUGAGAUCGCAAGUCACUGUGUGCAUUAUCCCAUAAUUUUUGCUUUAACAUCUUUUGGGCUCCUUCAUAACCCAGGUAAUACAGUUGGGGGGGUGACAGACCAAUGGAGGUGGCUUUUUUAGCCAUGGUUUUCUGCCAUUUGCUGACAAAUUCCUCAUUGGUCAGGUGUUGGUACAAACCCUUCCCUAGAUCAAACACUGAAAUCCUGAGUUAAUGUUUUAGGGCAGCCCACCAUGCUUUAGUUGAAACUGGGCAUUCACCAGCUUCUAACAGAAGUAUGGAGUUGGGGACACAGUUGGGUACCUGCAGCAGAGAUCGUAGAAAUUUUGCCUGAAAGCCAUCUAGCUUUGGCAGGUCCCCAUUAUGCCAGACAUUUGCUGCAUACAGGAGUUGGGAAACGGGUUUUGCGUUGAAAAACCUUAAGGCUGCUGGAACAUAUUUGCCGCCCUUUGUGAAAAAGAAUCUGAGUAUGGCUAGCUUUGUGAUCUCCGCCUUUUGAAGGGAGGUUUGCCAGUGGUGCUUCCAAGAUCCUGUAUGAUGGAAUGUGAGCCCUAGAUAACUGAAGUAUUUGAUCUGUUCAAGAUUAUGGCCAUCCAGUACCCAUUGUAAAACACUGAGGCCCCAUCUGCCUUAUACAUUUAAAGGAGAAGCAAACUACUUCAUGUCUUCACCCAGAGAAUAUUGGGAAUAGUUGUUAGUUUAAGGGUGCUGAGAAAUUCUAGGAGACCCCAUGCCCUGCACAGACGUGCAGUUCCCACAGUGUCCUGGGAAGAUGGAUUGGUUGGCAAACCACUCUGCAAUUUCCACCCACAAAUACUAGCUGUGCCCUUUGGCGCAAUGGAGAACAAACCUGCCCCGCUUUCUCUGUGGCAAGCCCUCCAGAUAUUGGGAGGCUGCUAUGUCUCCCCUUAAACUUCCCUUCUCUGGGCUCAGCCCUAUGACUGUCACCCUCCACCUGACAACAGCCUUGUGUUGUUCUUGUAUUAAUAACUUUCAGAAUCCAGGAUGUCCAUAAACGUAAGAUAAACUUUAUUAGCUAAUUACAGAGUGAAGAGUCUCUGUUUAAGGAAGUCAUAGCUUCUCUCUUGCUCAAUCAUUCCUUUAUCCAGAGGCCCCUUCCAGCCUCAUCUAGUUCCCUAAAACACAACCCACUUAAAGGGAUAUUGUUCUCACAAGCAUGGUAACCACAUCGCCCUCUGUUUGUGAGAAGAAAGCCAACAGAAGUGCUCAGCACAAAUGCUCUGCCACAGCAAAAUGCAGCCUUUUAAAAGCACUCUGAUAUUUCGCAGAUUAGAACCGUGACACUUUUAUCUACUUGCCACACUCCUAUUCUCACACCAAGGAUAACGGCUGAUCUUCCACGUCCUCCGCCCCCCGCCCCAACUCCAUUACACAUCGCCGAAGGCUCCUCUCCACCUGAUGGUAUCCAUUUACCCUGCAAUCAGCUGUCUUGAAAGCAAGAGAGCUUGCUCUUGUUAAAAACUACACACAAUCAUUCCAUGCUCUGUUAUCGACCAUUUGAAAUGAACCUUGCUAGCUGAAGCUUGUGGAGUGCUGCUGAUUUUGCUCUGCCCUUAGCAAUGAUGUGCAAGCAUUUACACAUUUGCAUGCUAGAGACCCCAAAAAGGGCAGUGCCAAAGAAUGCUCCAGCUACCACACAAUUGCGCUCAUUUCACCCGCUAGCAAAGUUAUGCUCAAAAUUCAACAAGGCAGGCUAAAGCAGUAUGUGGACCGAGGACUCCCAAAAGUACAAGCUGGAUUUCGAAGGGACAGAGGGACCAUCACCUCCUGGCAAACAGAAGGGGAAGAAAUGGAGAUGGUGACAGCAGAUGGUGACAGCAGUCAUGAAAUUAAAAGACUCCUGCUUUUGGGGAGAAAAGUGAUGAUAAACCUAGACAGCAUCUCAAAAAGCAGAGGCAUUACCUUGUUGACAAAGAUCCGUGAAUUUGAAUUUGACGAAACUGCAGGAGGCAGUGGAAGACAGGAGUGCCUGGUGUGCUCUGGUCCAUGGAGUCACGAAGAGUCGGACACGACUAAUCGACUAAACAGCAACAACAUACUGCACCAGAUGCACCCUGUCCUCUUCCUACAGAGAGAUUUUACUCUCUAGCAGGCAAGAGGGAGGGGGGAAGCCCUGACAAAUGGUACUCUCACAAUUUGUUUUUAUAUUUGCUUAUUUCAAUCUCUACCCUACCUAUCAAAUUCAGAAGGGUCUCCAAAGGGUCUCAGAUAAAAUGUCCAUGUUAUAGGGUGGGUUGAAGGGCCCAUUUGGGUGCCUUCCAAUUAUGUGGUUCUUGACUCUUAGAAGUUAUGUGCUUGGGCUUCCUAUUAGCACUGGUUAUCUGAUUGGGGUGUGUGGGUACCAUGUCUGGUGGGGAACACGUUGUGCUCCUUCUGGGGUAGUUUGUCCUACUUUGGUCCUCAACUUGCGCUCAGCUAUCACCUGUGGCUCCUAGAAGCUGUCAGUCUGUGGUGGUCACAACUUGGAAAUGGUUUCAACUGGCCGGCUAAACCAGGUGAGGGUAGCCAAUAGGUCUCAAACCCUCAGUGAGUUAGGGACUUCCCCUGCAUGCGAAGACAGGCUGUGGCAGAUUGAGUGUACUUCAACAGUGAUGAAGGUGGAUUCUGCACAUGCUGUAGAGAGAAAUGAGGGCCAGAUGGGGCUGGUCUGGAAAGCCAAAUCAAGAAGGUCUGGAAAGCCAAAUAAAGCCCAAACCUAUUAUACAUCUCUGCUCAGAAUCAUAAUAAGCCCCAACGGGUUCAGUGGCAUUUACUCAUAGGUAAGUGAGCCUAAGGGAUGUGGGUGGCUCUGUGGUGUAAACCACUGAGCCUAGGGCUUGGCGAUCAGAAGGUCAGCGGUUCGAAUCCCCGCGACGGGGUGAGCUCCCAUUGCUCGGUCCCUGCUCCUGCCAACCUAGCAGUUCGAAAGCACGUCAAAGUGCAAGCAGAUAAAUAGGUACCGCUCCAGUGGGAAGGUAAACGGCGUUUCCGUGCACUGCUCUGGUUCACCAGAAGCGGCUUAGUCAUGCUGGCCGCAUGACCUGGAAGCUGUACGCUGGCUCCCUCGGCCACUAAAGCGAGAUGAGCACCGCAACCCCAGAGUUGGCCACAACUGGACCUAAUGGUCAGGGGUCCCUUUACCUUUAAGUGAGCCUAAGGGAUGUGGGUGGCUCUGUGGUGUGAACCACUGAGCCUUGGGCUUGCUGAUCAAGCAAAAUUGACCAAGGCAAAAUUAGUGCGAGCCGUAUGCAAAGCGCCUCUUUCUGAGAGCAGCAAACAGCUCAGCUUCAUUUCAACAACUAAUCAACUGCAAAAAGCCAUUUAUGACUCCUACAACUUGGAUGGUUUUAAAAGGGGAGUAGAAAAACAGCCCACUGAGUCUUGGGCUUGCCGAUCGGAAGGUCGCAGUUCAAAUCCCCUCAAUGGGGUGAGCUCCCGUCGCUCUGUCCCAGCUCCUGCCAACCUAGCAGUUCAAAAGCACAUCAAAGUGCAAGUAGAUAAAUAGGUACCACUCCGGCAGGAAGGUAAACAGCAUUUCUCUGUGCUGCUCUGGUUUUGCCAGAAGCGGCUUAGUCAUACUGGCCACAUGACCCGGAAAAACUGUCUGCGGACAAACAUCGGCUCCCUCGGCCAGUAAAGCGAGAUGAAAGCCGCAACCCCAGUGUUGUUCACAACUGGACUUAACUAUCAGGGGUCCUUUAAGUGAGCCUAGGGUUGCAGUUUUAUCAAUUUUUUUAUCACAGCAUGUAAACCCAUUGCACUACAGUAAUGGGUAUCUAGCGUAACUUGGUGGAACAUCUGCAAAGGUUGCUUAUCCCUCAAAAUCCUCCACUAUGACACAAGCUUCCCCAUCCUCAUAAAAAAAAAAGUAUUGAGGCUGAGGAAGUACUUGAAAACUUGUGCUUGAAAGUACAACUGCUGUGAAGAAAGAAAGCACGAUCUGAAGCGGCUUCUUCCAGGUGACUGUGCUGGAAGUAAAAAAGCAGAGGCAUAAUUGCUACAUAAGGGACCACGGGGUGGAGAUUUACUGUAGGCAUCUUUGGACUUCAGGAGCAUACAAGAUGCCCUCAGCCAGGCCUCCUGUUAAACUAACAGGGCUUGCUGUGAAAUAAUUUACAAGAAGAACCACAUCUCAGCCUAUUAUGCUCCCAAACACCAUUGGUUGGGGGACUAAAGAUCUUUUCCUUUCACCGUACUUCUGAACUGCAUUAGAUUUAAAGAGACUUAUUUUCAGGGUUUUUCUCCACAUGAUUAGAAUAGUGCAAGGGGGAAAAAAGGGGUGCACUGGUCGCCCCCUUCCCUUAUGUCACAUUCCAAUGCCCCUCCCCACACUCCAUACAUCUUGGAGGACAAAUGUCUGCAAUGUGGAGCUCACAAUAAUCGCACAGACUUUCUGCACAACUUAUUUUAUUAUUACAUUGAUGCCCCAACUUUCUUCCAAGAAAGCCCAAGGUGUGUAUGAUUGGUUCCCUCACUCCCUGUUUUAUCCUCACAACAACCUCACUAGGGCAGUUAGGCUGAGAGACAGUGACUGGCUCAAGGUGGGUUUCCUGGCCAAGUGGGAAUUUGACCCCAGGUCCAACACUCUAAAGGGACGUGGGUGGCGCUGUGGGUUAAACCACAGAGCUUAGGACUUGCCGAUCAGAAGGUCGGCGGUUCGAAUCCCCGCGACAGAUUGAGCUUCCGUUGCUUGGUCCCUGCUCCUGCCAACCUAGCAGUUCAAAAGCAUGUCAAAGUUCAAGUAGAUAAAUAGGUACCACUCCGGCGGGAAGGUAAACGGUGUUUCCGUUCGCUGCUCUGGUUCACCAGAAGCGGCUUAGUCAUGCUGGCCACAUGACCCGGAAGCUGUACGCCGGCUCCCUUGGCCAAUAAAGCGAGAUGAGCGCUGCAACCCCAGAGUCGGUCACAACUGGACCUAAUGGUCAGGGGUCCCUUUACCUUUCCAACACUCUAAAUACUAUGCAAUGCUGCCCCAUAUUACAACAAUGAUCGAGCAAAACAACAAAAAAUAUCACCACUGUUUGGGACAGUGAAAUACUGGGGUGGGUGGGGGAAGCCUGUACAUCUCUGCUCUCUGGAACUUCAGGGAGCGAAUUAUGUGUAUACAAUUUAAGGUAGCAAAAUGAUCCAACAAGCAGAAUUCGUACCUUAUUUUAAUGCCCUAGUAGUUUUAACACCCUGCUCUCCUUAACUGCAGGGAGGAAACCAACACCUGAAUAAGGCUUAGGUGUCAAUAUCAGGUUUGGAUUGAAAAGUACUAAUGCGACUAAAGAACUAUGGCAAGAGAAACUGAUGGACUACGCAGAAUUGGCAAAACUGAC
This is a non-coding RNA of Podarcis lilfordi (Lilford's wall lizard), 37432 nucleotides long. The record is from the annotation of a GenBank genome assembly. NCBI's taxonomy places the organism in Eukaryota, Metazoa, Chordata, Lepidosauria, Squamata, Lacertidae.